This 584-nucleotide long non-coding RNA is filed under the name Linum usitatissimum (flax). RNAcentral's name for it is "long non-coding RNA (LUSI_LNC006327)". The record is from RNAcentral. Lineage: Eukaryota; Viridiplantae; Streptophyta; Magnoliopsida; Malpighiales; Linaceae.
GAAUCCGAAGAAGUCGAAAUAAUCAAGGAAUCGGAAAAAGAUUUGUUAUUAUUCACAAUCCGAGCGGUUCAAAUCUUAGUCACCAUACAACCUAUUCAGCAAUAGCCCGAUUUCUUUCUGGACAGCUUUGCCUGUUGUGACUCGGGUAUGAGAAAAUUGUGCAUGACCUUGGCGGUGUCCCAUGUUGAGAAGCAGAUGCACUGCCCUCUUCAUGAAGGUCACUAAGGGGUAGCCCGUCAAAUAAGAUAGUAAUCUGACCAGACUUUCUAGCAUCCACCAUGGGUCUAACAUCUGUGUCAUCUGUAAACCAAAGAAGCCCCGUGAUUGAGUAAGGAACCACAGGGUAAAAACCAAUUCGUCAAAGAGAUGUGUAGUUUAAUUGCUCGAAGGCCAGCUGACGUAAGUAGUAGUAUCCAAGUAUUUCCGGAUAUAGAUGACCUACAUUCUGGAUUCCCCCAAAACAUUCUCGGCCGCCAUUCCUCUCUAACAUCUGGCCCCCAUACCGUAGUGCGUAAUCUACCUUAUUAUCCAUAGAAUCAUGGCUGGGUAAUUAGAUCCACAUGCAACAGAAUUAGCUCAUAUGU